ACGAUACAUCCAAACAACUUCAACUGUUCAACGUCCACGAAGAACUUGAAUUUACUCCACACCAAGGGGAAGUUGGAUCCUCAUUCAGCAUAAGAGGCACAGAAAUAUACGGAAGCUAAAUGCCAACCUUAUCCCAUUCGAAGAUGAAGCCUACUCCAUUCUGGCUUCACAACGAAGCAUUUAAACUAGCAGAGACACAUAAAAACAGAACUUCCAUGUGAAACUAAAAGAAUUCAAUCUAUAAUGCGGUUAAUCAAGCUAGAAACCUAAUUUCUCAAUCUUGUAUCACUUACUAACUAUCCGAGCUAAUCAAGCAAGCCUCCACACCCAACUCCCCCAAGUAAUGAACACCUUUAUAAGAAGAUGGAUCCAAAUUACACUAAAAACCGAGAAUCAGCAUAAGAAAUCGCCAUUGCAAGAUGAGCAACCUCAAUGCCACUUACCGCUACUAUCAUAAGGGCCAUACUCCAUGGAUCACCUUUCUCAGGCAAGAAAAUGCUCUCACGAGAUGAAAUAUGUUCGGACGCACUGAAACCACCUCAAAGGUAAAGAGAGACUCUUUUCGCCAGCUAGAACAAAUCCAGGCCGAAAACGAGAGAUCCGCCACUUCCACAACCACUUUGGUCGAACCAUUGAAGAAAGCGAUCCAUCUUGGGACGGAAGACCAAAUUGGACCGAGAAAUCGAGUCGCGCCGGAGGAAAUCGGUGAGUGCUCGGAAGAUCCGGAGGGAGGGAGAGGAGGGAAGAUGAAGGGGAAAGGGGGGUACCCGUCGGACGCCAAAUGCGAUUUAAAAAGGAGCUUUUUACAGUAAAAUCCGUUUUGAGUUCCGACCGCAUCGAGUGGGCUGCGGGAGUCUCAGCGCGUUAUCGGAUCAUAUUUAAGUGGGGCUCCGAAAGGCCAAAAAUCC
Molecule: long non-coding RNA, 908 nt
Filed under: Musa acuminata (dwarf banana)
Lineage: Eukaryota; Viridiplantae; Streptophyta; Magnoliopsida; Zingiberales; Musaceae
Description: long non-coding RNA (MACU_LNC011052)
Source: RNAcentral